Ficedula albicollis (Collared flycatcher) is the source of this 783-nucleotide long non-coding RNA. Lineage: Eukaryota; Metazoa; Chordata; Aves; Passeriformes; Muscicapidae. The record is from Ensembl.
GGAGAGCACUGCUGCUCUUUUUAGGGAUUUGUGUGCAUUUUGCUGACUCUGGUGGGUUCAACUUGCCCGUCUGCCACACUCUGCCACACUCUGUAUCCCUCCUCAACAGGAGCAAGCAAGAUGGAAGAGCUCAAGAGAUAAGAACAGGGAGGUCACUCACCAGUUACCGUCACAGGAAAGCCAGAUCUGGCCUCCAAAUCAGGUUAAUUUAUUGCCAGAUAAUUACAGAAUGAGAUAGUGAGAAAUAAAAACAAACUUUAAUAAGAAUGAGAUAGUGAGAAAUAAAAACAAACUUUUUAUUAAAGUUUUCCUCCUGCCCCACUUUUCCAAGGCUCAGCUUUGCUCUUGACUCUUCUCUACCCAACACAGGGACUGCUCCUGAUCUCUCAGAAGCUCCUGAAUCUCUCCUAAGGUCGACCAUAGUGCCUGCAGCAAGAGAGAUGAAGUUUAGAUUCCCUUUGGCAAUGCCAAGGUCCUGAUCUGAGCUGCUCUCACAUAAAGUUUUCCUCCUGCCCCACUUUUCCAAGGCUCAGCUUUGCUCUUGACUCUUCUCUACCCAACACAGGGACUGCUCCUGAUCUCUCAGAAGCUCCUGAAUCUCUCCUAAGGUCGACCAUAGUGCCUGCAGCAAGAGAGAUGAAGUUUAGAUUCCCUUUGGCAAUGCCCAGAGAAGGCCAGGGAUGGUGUUGGCUUGGAAAUGAGGCAGAAAUAUUCCAUUCAGAAAUAUUCAACCUUCAGUUGCAGGGCAGGGUGUUCCCCUGCAUUCCCCUGAAAUCUCUCUAA